CAUAUUAAAUCUUGAAAUGUUUAAAAAUAAGCUUUAAUUUCUUAUAAAGCAUUGAUACACGAAUUACUAUCAAAAAAGAACAGGUUUCAAAUAAAGUAGUGUUGUCAAUGAAUGUUGUAAAUAAAAGUGACUCUAGGUGUAAAGUAGUACGGGAGAAGGAAAUAAAGAUAACCUAUUUCUCCUGUCUAAUGUAGCCUUUAACAUGCAAUUUUUUCCUUCAACUCCUGAAAAUAUCACACUUGGAAGAGGCAUCAAAUUGUACACAGUGAUAAAGCUGGCGUGAGGAAAAUGGAAACUAACCAAGCCACAUUAUAGCACUCUACCUAUGCAUUUCAAAAGUCACCAAAAUAGAAGAGCUUUCGGAAAUUCAGCACUGAUGUUAAAAAUACACAUCAAACAAUACUAGAUACAAAAUUCCUUCCAGCUUGCUAAUACGUGUGUCACAUAAACACUAAGUAAUAUUAAGACAAUGUUAGGGAUGAUAUUUGAUAUUCAGAGAACUUCACUAAUGAUUAAGUUUCAUGUACAUCUUUUGAAAUUAACUUAUGAAGGUAUUACCCCAAAAAAGAAAGGAAAAAGCUAGACUUCUCAGGUUAUUAACUCUUACUAGCAUUUCUUCUCAUAAAAAUUCAUGAAUAUGAAUUUUUCUACCCAAAUAUACCUUUGCUACCCAAAAUGACAAGACAGCUUUAUAAACCUCUUAAAACUAAACCAGCCCUCAACUCCCCUUGCUCUGCUACUCUGAAAUGACACUGAAGUCACAUGAAGACACAUGAAGAAGUGCUGAAAUAGCACUUCUCUCCUAUUCAGGUGAGUAGCCACUGACAAGCCUGAUUCUUAAAUGACAUAGAGCAUAUCCUAGAACUUCCUAGGUUUUCCUCCUAUAGUCCUAUUUAUGACUAUUAAAAUGUAACAAAUACUUUUUGCUUAAAGUUUGACUUUUCUGCAUUAUCUUUUAUUAUUUUUUUAUAAUCAUCACGACCAGUAACAGUGGCCAUUGACAGAGACUGUACUCCAGAGCUCUGCAGUCUUCCUCCUCCAUGGCUAUGAGAUAAAGCCUGCACAGGUUCAGUGGACGGGGACAAGCGCACCUGCCACACCAGUGUUCUAACAGUGGCUGAGGAAGAGUGCUGCUGCUGCCCCUGGUUUAGCAAGACGAGGCCAGAGCUUCUCUGCAGCACCUUUCAGACUGGUGAAAACCAGAUUGCAGAACUGCUGCUCAAGGUGCCGUAAGAAUAGCUGCGGUAAGAGGGUAAAAUGCAGGAGCCACCGUUGGGAAGCCAUCAGAUAGCUCUGCAACCAUCGACCCCAGUAACCUCAACUUUUACAGUGAUUAUCUACCAUCAUAUACACAACUUGAUAGAACAUUAUACUUUUUUUUUUUACUACUUCCAGCUCCAAAAUAUUCGGGCUUGCAAGACAUAGAUUUUCAAAGAUUUUUCUUUUAUGGGCCACCAUCUGCAUUUUACCUAUCCUUUCCAUAAAAGCAAGGAAAUAUUUUGUUUAGAAAGGUGAACAUUAGUUUAUCCUGCAACCCACGGAUAACUGGUACUUCUAGCCAGCAAAAAAAGCACAUACACAAAAACUUCUUU
Molecule: long non-coding RNA, 1592 nt
Organism: Equus caballus (horse)
Lineage: Eukaryota; Metazoa; Chordata; Mammalia; Perissodactyla; Equidae
Source: Ensembl